UGUUGUACAUGCUUUCUUCUCUUCAAUUCCUAGUGGUGCAUUCUGGCCAGUCUUAUUGAUACCUAAUAUUGCCGCCUUGAUUGCCAGCCGAGCAAUGACAACAGCAACAUUUUCGUGCUUAAAGCAAUCAUAUGCUCUUGGUUGUUUCCCUCGUCUUAAAAUCAUUUACACAUCUAAAAAGUUCAUGGGUCAGAUCUAUAUUCCUGUCAUAAACUGGUUCUUGCUGGGAGUUUGCCUGGUCAUGGUUUGCUUCAUCUCAAGCAUUAACGAGAUUGGAAAUGCCUACGGUAUAGCGGAGCUUGGAGUAAUGAUGAUGACCACUAAUUUAUUCACAAUUGUCAUGCUUCUCAUAUU
Long non-coding RNA from Hibiscus syriacus, 354 nucleotides. RefSeq lists it as uncharacterized. The record is from RefSeq and is a predicted model, not a curated record. NCBI's taxonomy places the organism in Eukaryota, Viridiplantae, Streptophyta, Magnoliopsida, Malvales, Malvaceae. The transcript is spliced from 3 exons.